UGAGGAAUAUUGGUCAAUGGACGCAAGUCUGAACCAGCCAAGUAGCGUGCAGGAUGACGGCCCUAUGGGUUGUAAACUGCUUUUAUAUGGGGAUAAAGUGGGGAACGUGUUCCCUUUUGCAGGUACCAUAUGAAUAAGGACCGGCUAAUUCCGUGCCAGCAGCCGCGGUAAUACGGAAGGUUCGGGCGUUAUCCGGAUUUAUUGGGUUUAAAGGGAGCGUAGGCCGUUUGGUAAGCGUGUUGUGAAAUGUAGGAGCUCAACUUCUAGAUUGCAGCGCGAACUGUCAGACUUGAGUGCGCACAACGUAGGCGGAAUUCAUGGUGUAGCGGUGAAAUGCUUAGAUAUCAUGAAGAACUCCGAUUGCGAAGGCAGCUUACGGGAGCGCAACUGACGCUGAAGCUCGAAGGUGCGGGUAUCGAACAGGAUUAGAUACCCUGGUAGUCCGCACAGUAAACGAUGGAUGCCCGCUGUUAGCACCUAGUGUUAGCGGCUAAGCGAAAGCAUUAAGCAUCCCACCUGGGGAGUACGCCGGCAGACGGUG
This 541-nucleotide ribosomal RNA is filed under the name uncultured bacterium. RNAcentral describes it as "bacterial SSU rRNA". It matches the Rfam family "Bacterial small subunit ribosomal RNA", at positions 355 to 896 of the family's 1533-position model. The record is from RNAcentral.